CCUACGGGUGGCAGCAGUGGGGAAUAUUGGACAAUGGGGGGAACCCUGAUCCAGCCAUGCCGCGUGUGUGAAGAAGGCCCUCGGGUUGUAAAGCACUUUCAGUGAGGAAGAACGCCUGGUGGUUAAUACCCAUCAGGAAAGACAUCACUCACAGAAGAAGCACCGGCUAACUCCGUGCCAGCAGCCGCGGUAAUACGGAGGGUGCGAGCGUUAAUCGGAAUUACUCGGCGUAAAGCGCGCGUAGGUGGCUUGAUAAGCCGGUUGUGAAAGCCCCGGGCUCAACCUGGGAACGGCAUCCGGAACUGUCAAGCUAGAGUGCAGGAGAGGAAGGUAGAAUUCCCGGUGUAGCGGUGAAAUGCGUAGAGAUCGGGAGGAAUACCAGUGGCGAAGGCGGCCUUCUGGACUGACACUGACACUGAGGUGCGAAAGCGUGGGUAGCAAACAGGAUUAGAUACCCCUGUAGUC
Molecule: ribosomal RNA, 465 nt
Filed under: Vreelandella stevensii
Lineage: Bacteria; Pseudomonadati; Pseudomonadota; Gammaproteobacteria; Oceanospirillales; Halomonadaceae
Description: partial 16S ribosomal RNA
Rfam family: Bacterial small subunit ribosomal RNA
Source: RNAcentral